Molecule: ribosomal RNA, 467 nt
Filed under: uncultured bacterium
Lineage: Bacteria
Description: partial 16S ribosomal RNA
Rfam family: Bacterial small subunit ribosomal RNA
Source: RNAcentral
GACGAACGCUGGCGGCGUGCUUAACACAUGCAAGUCGAACGGAAAGGCUCCAGCUUGCUGGCGUACUCGAGUGGCGAACGGGUGAGUAACACGUGGGUAAUCUGCCCUGCACUCUGGGAUAAGCCUGGGAAACUGGGGCUAAUACUGGAUAUGACCUUUCUCCUUAUGGGGGUUGGUGGAAAGUUUUUCGGUGUAGGAUGAGCCCGCGGCCUAUCAGCUUGUUGGUGGGGUGAUGGCCUACCAAGGCGACGACGGGUAGCCGGCCUGAGAGGGUGAUCGGCCACAUUGGGACUGAGAUACGGCCCAGACUCCUACGGGAGGCAGCAGUGGGGAAUAUUGCACAAUGGGCGGAAGCCUGAUGCAGCGACGCCGCGUGAGGGAUGACGGCCUUCGGGUUGUAAACCUCUUUCAGCAGGGACGAAGCGUAAGUGACGGUACCUGCAGAAGAAGCACCGGCUAACUAUGUG